RNA transcript from Hippocampus zosterae (dwarf seahorse), 3434 nucleotides. It is a transcript of the gene named WAS/WASL interacting protein family member 3, with no coding region annotated. The record is from RefSeq and is a predicted model, not a curated record. The transcript is spliced from 10 exons. NCBI's taxonomy places the organism in Eukaryota, Metazoa, Chordata, Actinopteri, Syngnathiformes, Syngnathidae.
CCGCCCGUGAUUGUGAUUAGGAUUCUGAUUAUUAUUAUUUUUGCAAUAUUAAUUUAUGUGGUGGUUGCCAACCACACCAGGUCAUCGGCUGUGCCGUUCCGUUUUUACAAUGUCAUUGUUCGUCUAUCUUUGCCAGCGACAUACCAUACCAGGCAGAACAAUUCCAGUACUUUAAAUGCUAAUCCACUAGAUGGCAGAAUGUACAAAUAACCUGAUUAUCAACCUGUUGCCGUUGAUACAAGGGUAUAAUAACUUUGCGUUCAACCGUUGUAUAUGUAAUAGGGGGUUGUCAGUUGAGGCAAGAUUGAUUUUAUGCAUUUAUUUAUUUAUUUUACCCAUGUAAAAUAUAUGCCUUUGCUUAAUAACGCUUUAGAAAUGCGGUGUAGUCAUUUUUUCCCCCUCCCGGUGUUUCUUCCCAGUAGGGUGUUGUCCUGCCCCCUUCUGGAUUUGUAUUACGCCGCUAGACUUCUGCACGGUACACAGUGUGGGAGAACUGCUGGAGCAAUCAAGAGACCACUGUUCAUGUGCACAGGGCAGGAUCUUGAACAACAGCAACAACAACAAAAAGAAAAGGAAACCCUUUCGAAACUUUUCUUUUGCAGUUAAUUUUGGUGAGUGACAGGCAGCCGACCGGUCUGGUUAAAAAUAAAGCUAUGAGGUCAGUUUGCUUUGUGUCUACAAGCCGAGGACUCUGAAAGCUAGCAGGUGGACUUCUGACUCUGGGAAGGUAGGCCCAAGUAUAGCUGAGAUGCCGCUACCGCCUCCACCACCUCCGCCACCACCUCCUCCGCCACCACCUCCUCUGCCACCCCCAUGCACUGCACCUCCACUAUUUCCAGUCGAGUCUCCUAAGGUCCAGUCCGGCGGAGGAGCCGCCACAAGCGCUCUGCUAGCUGACAUCCAGAAGGGAGCCCGACUCAAGAAAGUCACGCAGGUCAAUGACCGCAGUGCCCCUCUUGUGGACAAGCCCGCGGCUCCAAGUGGAGAUGUGUCCGGCAAUGUUGGCGGCGCUCAGGGUCCACGUGGAGGUGCGGCCCCCACGGGGCCAUCUUUAGGUGGGCUGUUUGCAGGGGGGUUUCCCACCCUAAGGCCGAUAGGGCAACGGGACUCGGCGGGCAAGACGGCAGUGUCCCGCUCGAGCUCAUCGGCCUCCCUCAAGCCGCUGUGGAACACGCCCACUUUGGCGGACUGUGUCGGCCCCCGUCCGCUCGCCUCCUCCUCCGCCCCACCCUCGCCGACUCACGCCAGCAAACAUCUCGCUCCUCUCCCCGUGACCGCUCCCCCUCUGCCCACACCACCCGCCCCGCCCUCUGCUCCUCCUCCUCCUCCUCCACCUCCGCCGGAAGCCUUCCAGGACCGGCCCACCAACAAGCCUCCCCCUCUACCUCCCUUCCCACCCCCUCCGGCUCCAUCUCAGGUCACAAAGCCCACUUGGCUUCCCAUCCAGCACUACCAACACACCACUAAUGCCCCACCCCUGACGCCUCCCCCUCCAACUCACAACCCUCCUUCUCUCCCUGGGGACCGCUCCUCUUGGUCCUUCUACCCACCAGCGCCCUCCGUGGUCCACUUUGAACCUGCAAGGUUCCCCAUCCUGCGUGACUCGAGCCCGCUCGGACCACCGCCCCCGGUGCCACCUCCCCCUCUCCCAAGCUCUUUCACCCCGAGCUGUCCAUCCACUCUCCCGCCACCCCCGCCCAGAAUUCCUGCCGUGCCCUCGCCGGCCUUACGCUUUCUACCGCCGUCAUACCCGUGCAACGCUCCGACCAGGCGACCGCCUGCUGUGCCGAGAAGUGCAGGUGCUUGUCGUCUGGCUCCUCCUCCAGCUCCUCCAGCACGUUCCUCCUCCACUGAGCUGUCCGGCCGCAUUCCUCCCCCUCCGCCGCCCUCCAUUGUCAGGAAUGGACACCUGCACAGUCAGGAUGACUUUGAAUCCAAAUUCCAGUUCCACCCAAAAGAAGAUUUUCCUCCUCCAGAUGAAUUCAAGCCUUUCCCUCGCAUUUACCCCAGUAAAGAAAACAGAGUAAAUCCAGCUCCCCAUGGGAUCAGGUCACACCUCAGAUGAGAUUCAUCCCACACAAUUCCUGGAUACAAAGGGUUGAAUAGCUUCACCUCAGACUUGGAAAGCUUCCAGUCGUCAUUGAGGUCCAUCUCCUGGAACGACUCGUGCGACCUCGGGCCGUUUCUGAUCUCGAGCAACUCAACGAUGAAGGUCAAGGUGCUUUCAGGGGGGAUUUUACCUAAAGGACGGACGGGACAGGAUCAGAGUAAGAGCUGAGGAAAAAAACGCCAACAAGCAUGAUAACCAUUAAAGAGUAGCUAAGGGUUAGUUUGAAGAAAGAAAAUUAGAAAGUGUUCAUUGUUGCAUUUUUGUGGGUGUGAAUCAUAAAUUGUUAUUGCUGAGUGAACUUACCGGGACACGGCUUAGUAUCGUUCACAUGCCUCCGCGGUAAGAAAAAAUCAAUCAGUAUGGAAGUCCUAAAAGAGUCAUUUAGAACAGCAGAGGUUUACAUGCAAGAUAAAAUAAAACAUGCCAUGCCAAACAAAGUAAGAAGGUAGGACAUACACUUAAAACAGACAGAUGCUCGACUAUACCUUUGCCUUCUUUGCCGUAGGCCAAAGCUGGAGGUAUAAUCAACUUUCUUUUCUCUCCUGUACACAUUUUCUGGAGACCUUGGUCCCAGCCUUUGAUCACCUCCCUGAUGCCCAAUAUGAACCACAUUGCAUGUUUGUCGCCCUCAGUAGGAUCACCACGACUGUGGACGCACACAGGGGGGAAAAAAAGUGUCACUCAUUUGGUACCAGAGACGGCAAAAUUCCAACACACUUGACGACACACCUUAUACUACUGCUACUACCAACCUGUCAUGAAACAUGGUACCGUUCUCGAAGUAGCCUUGAUGGUGCACCAGCAUCAUGUCUCCAUACUUGGAUUUACGAUGACAGAGGAAAGGUUUGUGCAGGACUUCUAUCUUGACCUCCGCCUCGGGCAGAGCUCCGCCGCAGACGGCGGCCACCAGAGAGGAGCAUAACCAGCUCAGCAGCGGCAGCGGCAGCAUUGCCUCUUGGCGUACGAGACCAAACGCCGGUGUGGAAAUACGCGAAAUGGAACGUCAAUACGCACAGGUUUGAGAGGCCAGCGGAUCGCGGAUACUUCUACGUGGCAGUGACGUUGCUCGGUUUUCGAGCUGGUGGCAGUGCCUCGUUGGAUAGUUUUGUGCUCUUGUAAAUCGCGCCUCGAUGGAAGUGUGGCAAGAUGCUGGCUGAAAGGCGGAAGAAGUCCCACUUGCAGUUUGGUGGAGUCUCAAAACUGAAGAGAAAAACAGCAUUGGAACGAUCAUACACACUAAAUUUGUGGAUCAGAAGUCAUGGACAGAGGUGGUCAAACGGUACCUUGACACAGGUGCAAGAUGUACAACUGCGAAAACAAGCAA